UCCUCCCACCACUGGCGACCUCGUCCCCUCCCCCUCGCUGUAGAUCGAGCAGCAGGUCCAGAUCCCGGCCACGGCGACGCGAGCACACCAAUGCAGGGUCAAGACGUGUGAGGAGCUCGCUCGCUGCGACCUGAUGCCAAAGGAAUGGACAAGGUGAACAUCUCUGUUCGUGACGCAACCCCAACCCUACCCUUUCCUUAGCGAGCGACGGUGUGAUGCACCUCUGGGAUCCACAUGUCCCUGUCCAUGCCGAUCGUUCGCGCCGGCGGCCGCUGCCGCAACAGCCGCUGCCCUGCCGCCGCGCCGUGCCUCCCUUGCAGUCUCCCACCGCAGCCUCCUCGUGCCUCGCCUCGUCGCCACACGCACCAUCCGCGCCUCCUCGUGCCUCGCCUCGUCGCCACACGCACCAUCCGCGCCUCCCCGGAAUGAAUAGGUCGACAAGUGCGAGCGCGUCAACACUGUCGGCGAUGACGAUGGUUGGUCGACUAGCAAACAAAAUGGUUACUAUUAUGACUGUAAUGCAUUGGUGUUAUCGCUGACACCUUCAGCUACUAUGGGAUCCGCCUCGCCCAGGUAUGCCCAUGUCCAUUGCCCUUAUCUGGAUCCACAGCCCCUCUUUGUUUCUGAUUAUUGUUUGUUCUUAUAUACUCUCAAAUUUCCAUGAGUGCGAUAAGAUGAACGAGUAUCCCGUGUCUGCGGCAACUCGCAUAGCCUGAUCCGGAAGUACGUGUGUGCUGCAGGCAUUGCUUCCGCAGCAACGCCAAGGACAUUGGCUUUAUCAAGAUCAUAGCACGAAUCUCAGCGGAGCUGAACGGGCAGAUAAGGGGGAGUCUGGACUCCCGGGUGCCAUAGCACCUUUUCGUUUGCACACUUGUUUAACAGUACCAUUAAGAAUGGAAACCUCAAAGGAAGCAAGGACUAGGAAAUUAUCAUCAAACUGUGGUGUUUCAUCGAGGACGACCUUUAUCAACAAUGAAGUAAUUGUGCCUGGAAUUUGCUUUGAAAUUUUCAAUGCUUUGGACCUAACUCAAGUUAUAAUUUUGUAGUUAAACCACAUGAUAUUGUUUUCCAAUCGCAUGUUUUUCCUACACAAACCAUAUGAAUUUAAUGAGCUUGCUUCACUACUAUAUGCAAAGGUAUCAUCUAAAAGGAAUUAUGGGUUUCAGAUAUGCUCCAGUUUUAUUGCAUUUCAUUAUAUACAUGCCAGGCGGCUGCACCCACAUAAGGGACAAAACUUGUUUUUGGCUCACGCCUAGCUGUCCAUUGUGUGGAUCAUGCACCAAUUCCAUCUGCCAAAUCAUAUUUCUGGGGUUUCCCCUCUUGCUUACAUUUCCAUUUGUAUACUUUAUGGAUUAUUCAAUCUUAUUUGUUUAGUAUAUAUAACCUGGAUGUCCCAUGCUUGGUAGGAGAUACAUAAUAAGGGAAUUGAGGCAAAGCAGUUGAAAUUUAAGAACGUCAUGUGCUCCUAUUACUUUGAUCAAUCUGCAGUACUGUUUAGCCUAUGAGCCAAUACGGGUGACCAGCGUGAGAAGAUGGGGCAAGGAUGAGGCCCCUUCGUUUGGCCAUGGUAAGAUCCAUGCGUGGACCUCAGCCACCCGAACGACGAAGCCGUCGUCGACCAGAUCGCGAGUUGUACUCGGUGGAAGGCAACGGAAGACUUCCCUUUUCGAUCAAGGCCAAGCACGCAUGUCUAAUCCAUGGUUGGAUCACAUACCUCUUUCUUUUUUCAUGGAUGCUCUAAUUUUCAGAUUAUGCCAGCAUUUUUUUAGACAUUGAAUUAAAUGACUAUGCAUGUGUUGUUGCACAAACUGACUCACAUCAAUGUUUACAUUCAAUAUGGUUCUGUCAGUAAUUCUAUAUGCCUGCUCCUUUUUUUAAAAGUAGGUUGUUCAACUGUCGUUUAAUAGUCUUUAUAUAAUGGUGGUACGACGACAAGGAUAUGCUGAUGUAUUUGAGCUUCUUUGCCAUAGUUCAAAGUGUGUAGUCCGGGCUAUGCUUUAUAUAUGUUCUUUUUGGCGUUGACAAUCCAACAGAAAGUGUGCCCUAAAUUAUAGAUCAGUCCAUUCAUCUCGCCUCUUUUUUUAGGUGGCAGGGUCAGAUGGAUUUUCGUGAGCUUCGCCAUGGUUUUCUCUUCUGUUACUUGGUGCAGGGCCUGAUGGAAUUAUGCUGAACUGUAAUAUUUUGGUAGUACAGAACAGUUCAUUUAUUAUAGUUGUUCGUUGUAGUUUUAGAACCGUGGCAUUCGAUUAUCUUGUUAUAUUCAUUUUCCCCUCUGGUGGCGUGUGUGGUCGAUGCUUCAGGUUUGCAUCUCCUCCCGCAUCCCUCGAAUCCUUUCUGUAUUUUCCCUCCCGCCAAGGAAAGGGAGAUAGAAGCAUCUACUCGAAUUAGUGGUCAAAUCAUCCUAAAGAAUCAUGGUUAGCUACAUCUAACUAUGUGAUUGCAUUUGGAGCUAGAAUGAAGUUAGGUUCGUCUCUUCCCUGGAAACUAAUCAGCUAUGUCAUCUCCAUGAUUU
Molecule: long non-coding RNA, 2512 nt
Organism: Triticum dicoccoides
Lineage: Eukaryota; Viridiplantae; Streptophyta; Magnoliopsida; Poales; Poaceae
Exons: 3
Source: RefSeq, a predicted model, not a curated record